RNA transcript from Carya illinoinensis, 1060 nucleotides. It is a transcript of the gene named RNA polymerase II subunit A C-terminal domain phosphatase SSU72, with no coding region annotated. NCBI's taxonomy places the organism in Eukaryota, Viridiplantae, Streptophyta, Magnoliopsida, Fagales, Juglandaceae. The record is from RefSeq and is a predicted model, not a curated record. The transcript is spliced from 5 exons.
UCAGACCCAAUUGCAACGGUGAAUACCUAAAUUCAAAAUUUCAGCAGACACUGUGAAAAGCCCGACAUAAACUCGUCGAGAGGGAGUGACGGUGACAGAGUAGAACACUAGACCCCAAAACAAGCAGCAUGAAAUUCCGGUACGCCAUGGUGUGCUCAUCGAACCAGAACCGGAGCAUGGAGGCGCACUCGCUGCUCAAGAGGGAGGGCUUCGAGGUCUCUUCUUACGGAACCGGGGCUCACGUUAAGCUCCCUGGUCCCUCCCUCAGAGAACCCAACGUCUACGACUUCGGUACCCCAUACAAGCAGAUGUACGAAGAUCUCAGGCGCAAAGACUCUGAGCUCUACAAGCGUAACGGUAUUUUACCAAUGCUAAAAAGAAAUUCAACAGUCAAACUGGCUCCUCAGCGUUGGCAAGAGAAUGCUGCUGAUGGUUCCUUUGACGUGGUUUUUACAUUUGAAGAAAAGGUUUUUGAUAUUGUCGUUGAAGAUCUUCACAACCGGGAUCAUGUUCUUCUGAAAACUGUGCUAGUGAUUAAUUUGGAGGUAAAAGAUAACCAUGAGGAGGCAGCCAUAGGAGCUCGGCUUACUUUGGAUCUGUGCCAAGAGAUUGAAGUGUCAGAAUCAUGGGAAGACUCGAUUGAUGAUAUAGUGGCUAAUUUUGAGAAACAGCAGCGGCGGAAGCUAUUGUAUAGCAUCUCCUUCUAUUGAAGAACUAUACCCUCGCCAAAUCUCUUAAAUGCCAACCCUAUUCCUGCUGAUGAUGUUUGUCAUUACCUUCCAUUUUUCUAUCUUACAUGUCGAAUCAGGGCUGAUUUUUUAGGAGCAGUUGAGAGCAUUACUUGCAAAAUAUUCUGCAGGGGUGUCCUUCGUGCUGCAAGGCGCAAGCAUUAGGAAAAUAUGAUUUGAUAUGCAGUCUGAUUGUGGAAAGAGCCAAGCAAUACCCUUUGUAGGAUGUACCAAACUUUUAGCCCUUUUUGACCCUUUUAGUUUCUUCAAAUCGAACUGUUUGAGCACAACCAACUCAUCUGGAUUUUAUUAAUAAAAACAUAUUUUCAGAA